This 253-nucleotide ribosomal RNA is filed under the name uncultured bacterium. Its description in RNAcentral is "partial 16S ribosomal RNA". It matches the Rfam family "Bacterial small subunit ribosomal RNA", at positions 524 to 776 of the family's 1533-position model. The record is from RNAcentral.
UACGUAGGGUGCAAGCGUUGUCCGGAUUUAUUGGGCGUAAAGAGCUCGUAGGCGGUUUGUCGCGUCGGAUGUGAAAACCCAGGGCUCAACCCUGGGCCUGCAUUCGAUACGGGCAGACUAGAGUAUGGCAGGGGAGACUGGAAUUCCUGGUGUAGCGGUGAAAUGCGCAGAUAUCAGGAGGAAUCCCGGUGGUGUAGCCGGCUCUCUGGACCGCCACUGACGCUGAGACACGAAAGCGUGGGGAGCAAACAGG